RNAcentral lists this ribosomal RNA (731 nucleotides) under uncultured Cellvibrio sp. Its description in RNAcentral is "bacterial SSU rRNA". It matches the Rfam family "Bacterial small subunit ribosomal RNA", at positions 1 to 754 of the family's 1533-position model. The record is from RNAcentral. Lineage: Bacteria; Pseudomonadati; Pseudomonadota; Gammaproteobacteria; Cellvibrionales; Cellvibrionaceae.
UCGGCUUAGAGUUUGAUCCUGGCUCAGAUUGAACGCUGGCGGCAGGCCUAACACAUGCAAGUCGAGCGAAGUUCUUCGGAAUGAAGCGGCGGACGGGUGAGUAACGCGUGGGAAUCUGCCUGGUAGUGGGGGACAACGUUCCGAAAGGAACGCUAAUACCGCAUACGCCCUACGGGGGAAAGGGGUUCGUCUCGCUAUCAGAUGAGCCUGCGUCGGAUUAGCUAGUUGGUGAGGUAAGGGCUCACCAAGGCGACGAUCCGUAACUGGUCUGAGAGGAUGAUCAGUCACACUGGAACUGAGACACGGUCCAGACUCCUACGGGAGGCAGCAGUGGGGAAUAUUGGACAAUGGGGGAAACCCUGAUCCAGCCAUGCCGCGUGUGUGAAGAAGGCCUUAGGGUUGUAAAGCACUUUCAGUGGGGAGAAAGGUUGUUUAUAAUUAAGCAAAUUGAUGUUACCCACAGAAGAAGCACCGGCUAACUCCGUGCCAGCAGCCGCGGUAAUACGGAGGGUGCAAGCGUUAAUCGGAAUUACUGGGCGUAAAGCGCACGUAGGCGGUUUGAUAAGCCAGCCGUGAAAGCCCCGGGCUCAACCUGGGAAUUGCGGUUGGAACUGUCAAGCUAGAGUACAGUAGAGGGGUGUGGAAUUUCAGGUGUAGCGGUGAAAUGCGUAGAUAUCUGAAGGAACAUCAGUGGCGAAGCGACACCCUGGACUGUACUGACGCUGGGUUGC